UACGAAGGGGGCUAGCGUUGCUCGGAAUCACUGGGCGUAAAGGGUGCGUAGGCGGGCCUUUAAGUCAGGGGUGAAAUCCUGGAGCUCAACUCCAGAACUGCCUUUGAUACUGUGGAUCUUGAGUUCGGGAGAGGUGAGUGGAACUGCGAGUGUAGAGGUGAAAUUCGUAGAUAUUCGCAAGAACACCAGUGGCGAAGGCGGCUCACUGGCCCGAUACUGACGCUGAGGCACGAAAGCGUGGGGAGCAAACAGG
Molecule: ribosomal RNA, 253 nt
Filed under: uncultured bacterium
Lineage: Bacteria
Description: partial 16S ribosomal RNA
Rfam family: Bacterial small subunit ribosomal RNA
Source: RNAcentral